RNAcentral lists this long non-coding RNA (10000 nucleotides) under Musa acuminata (dwarf banana). RNAcentral describes it as "long non-coding RNA (MACU_LNC007223)". Lineage: Eukaryota; Viridiplantae; Streptophyta; Magnoliopsida; Zingiberales; Musaceae. The record is from RNAcentral.
GGACCUAUCCCUCCUGGAUAUCUGUCCUGUUGGAAUAACAUCUCUCUUCGCUUCUUUCUCUCUGAAUGUUUCGGAGACCACCAUCCCCUUAGACUACUCCGAUUUGCUGAACAAACUGUGCAUUGUUCUACCUCUUGCAAACGCACUUGCUAGAUUGUGACUCUACGUCAAUACAGCCCCUGCUGCACCACUCAAGGCCUAGCAACAUGCUGAACUCGCUACACACUUCAACCUCCUACAUACGUAUCCUUUUCAUGCCGAAGAGAGAGCUCCAAUGCUCUAUAAUGCUGAGUUUCGGUCGCCUUGGGAUGGCUGCGAACAUUUCAUCAUCCGCAUACAAGCCCAUGCAUGAGUACCGAAUUCUUCGAGUUCGUAAUUCCCCUUACCUUUGUGAGCUUUGCACAACUCUUUUGGUCGCUAAGCUACUCGUUCCACCUUGCAUGGUCUCAUCCUUUACCAAGCGCCUCGCUUGCCUUGAGUACCAUUAAGUAUAUUUGUCAACGUCGAGCCAUAGCUCGAACUCAACCAUCCCAACCUUUGUGCGCUACGCAUUCUUCCAAGCUUGCUUGUUCUCGUAGUGUCUCUUGCGCAAAGGGUUGGUCAUUCCUCUGAAUGUCAAUCUCAGAUGCCCGCUCCUCCGGGCGACUCAUUUUACCUAUAUCUCUAUGUAUGUUUUCCUCUAAAUGGUCGCGCGUGUGCUGAUUGCCCUCAACACAGCUCUGCUAGGUCCCCCACAUUUGCAUGCCAAGUGUUUCUAUGAGCGCUUGUCCCACUCUGAUACCAUAUGUCAUGGACUUAACUAGUUUUGCCCAAGUCGUGUGGCACCUUUGCGUAUUCGUCCACAAAGGUCAGCCUCCCCGAAACCUCCCAUGGUCCCUUAAGACCUACAAAAGAGAAAAUGGGUUAGAGAAAGCAUCUCACUUGGGAUCCAUAAGCAAACCUUUUAGGAAACACUUCAUAGAUAAUGCAAAUUACAAACAGGCUUUAUAAGCUUUGAACGGUUACAUAAUAAAGGGUCAAAAUGGUCCACUACAAAUCGAAUAUCUCUCACAAGUGUCCACAUAACAUAACCUUUAUUUACAAGGCUAAGAAGGCCACCAAACCCAACUAAAAUGAGGUUGUUAAGCCUUCAACCGUUCCUCUACAUGCUGUGCAAAGCAUGAACAAACAGAAAGAUAUGGAUAUACAUAAGUAUUAUAUUAAACAUCUUGUUUAGAACUUUGUCCGUGAUAGAACAUCCGGACUUUCGACGAACUCUCGAACUCCCAAUGAAGUCUCAUUCUUGACUCCGGGACAUCAUUUUGCUUUAUGCCUUAAUCACUAUUAUAGUUAAUCCUACACACUUAAAACCUAGUUCGAUCUAGACAAUUAUUACAAAGCUUGAAUCAAAUAUUAUCCGGCAUAUCAUUGGUUCAUCGACGCUUCGUUCGAUUCUUCGGUGCAUCGUCCUCUCUUGUAGCCUAUUGCCCAAUCGGCAAGUUGACCUCCAUAACUCCAAUUUCCUUAGCGUAAUUUUCGCUCUUCUUAGCCCGAUACUCGAACCCAUGGCCUGAAGCCUUUUGCUGAUACGUCGACCGAUCCUCCGGCUCGACGUCUAAUCUUCUAACAUGUUCCACUCUGGCCCAACAUGAUUCUUCCCGCUUUAAUUGUCUCUCCAUGAUCGAAGCUUCCUACGUCAUUUAAAAUGUAGAUCAACUUAUAAACACUAUCAAUUGGUUUCAUCAUCAAAAUAUGAGAUUAAACAAGUAAAUGACAAUAAUAGAAAUGCAAAUCGAGUUUAUAGUGGUCCGAUAGUUGUGACCUACAUCCACUCCCGAUUCCUCUUCCGUCGAGGCUACUGAUAUCCACUAAUGAUCUUCCUUCAAUGGGCGAAGACCAACUACCCUUACAACUCUAUUCUCCUUUUGAUAGGCUCAGAAGAGAACCUUUAUACCCUCACUCACUCUUCUCUAAACAGAAAUCACACUUAGACUAGAGAAGGAGAAUUCUCAUAAUAUUACAAUAGAAUUUUCACUUGUUUUUGUUCUCGGUUCUUAUGUAAUCUGAGCAAGGAUGAGAGGGGUAUUUAAAGGACCCAAUUGGAUUCAAACUUGGAGCCUAAAAGUGUCUCAUCCCCGAUUUUCGGGGUACUGGCGGUACCAUCGCCCAAUCUGACAGUACCACCACCUGACAUAAUAUGGGUGACUGUGUCUAGGUGGUACCACCGCCCAGACUGGUGGUACCACUGCCUGACACUGGGAGGUACUACCGUUUGACACUGGGCGAUACUACUGCCUAACAUAGUCUUAGAGGCUGUCUCGGAGGCUAAGCAACUAGCAGUGCCACCACUUGGAUCGGUGAUGCCACCGCCUGACCCAACUUUUAGGUCACUGAAUGGCCUUUCUCUUGGUCCAAAAUAGCCCCAAUUCGAGCCCAAUUAGCUUCUAAUUGAGUUGGCCUAAUUAUAUUCUAAACCAACCUAAUUAUAACUAAAAACUACUUUGAUCUAGACAAAUUAUUACAAGUAAAAAUACUAAGUUGUACAGCAUGUCAUUGGUUCAUCCAUCGCUUCGUUCGACCUUUCGAUGCAUCGUCCUCUCCUUAGGUGUAUUGCCCAAUCGGUAUGUUGCCUUCUUGCAACAUCUGAUCUCCUUGGCGUAAUGUCCAAUCUUCUUGGCUCGAUGCCCGAACUCAUGGCACAAAGCCUUCUACCGAGACAUUGGCCAUUCCUCUGGUCUAACAUCCAAUCUUCUAAUGUGUUCAAUUCUCGCCCAACUUCUUAUUCUUUCUGCUUUAAUCAAUUUGUCUCUCUUGAUCGAAGCUAGUCCUACAUCACUCAAAACGUAGAUUAGAUUAUAACAUUAUCAAUUAGUUUUAUCAUCAAAAUCUGAGAUUCAACAGGUACCACCACCUAGCCUAGGUGGUACCAUCACCUGCCAAACUGACACUAGGCAGUACCAACGCCUAGUUUGAGCAAUACAACUACUCGGGUUUUUUGGAGAUGUACAUUGUCUCACAAGUGGUUCCACCACCUGACCUGGCAGUACCACCGCUUGGGCCAACUUCAGAAUAUUGAAUUAGACUUUCAAUAGGCUCAAUUCAACCUUGAUUUAGGCUCAAUUAGUCCCUAAUUAAGUUGGCAUGGUUACACUAAAAACCAACUCAAUUACAACCUAACCUACUUCGAUCAAGACAUGACCGAUUACAAACACGAAUCCUAUGUUGUCUGACAUGUCAUUGGUUCAUCCGACGCUUUGUUCGAUCUUUCGGUACAUCGUCCUCUCCUUCGACGUAUUACCCAAUCGACAUGUUGACCUUCCGCAACAUCCGAUCUCCUUAGUGUAAUGUCCAAUCCUUUAGCCUGAUGCUCAAACUCAGGCACAAAGUCCAUCGGGCACGUCGACCAGUUCUUAAGUCCGACGUCCAAUCUUUUGACAUGAUCCACUCCGGCCCAAUGUCUGAUUCUUCCUGCUUCAAUCGAUUUGUCUUUCCAUGAUCGAAGUUAGUCCUGUGUCACUCAAACGCUUAUUAGAUCAUAACUUCAUCAAUUGAUUUUAUUAUCAAAAUCUGAGAUUCAAUAGUAGGUGCACAAGGGAGCGAUUGACGCUACUUGCCACUUCGUGUACAUAAGCACAAGCAACCAAGGAAGGAGAGGGGCAACUGAUGAGGGUCGCAUGAUCGACCACAGUGGGUGAGCAACGAUUGGUGAGCGGGAUUGCUAAGUGCCGGAUGGCCAAGCCCAAGACGAAGGGGAGUGGUCGAUAAGGCAGAGGUAUGGCCAAGCGCGGAUAAAGGAACAAUCAAGUAUGGGUGUAUGCACAAUGAAAGGCAAUGAUCGUUAUGGAUAAAAUAAUUAUUUCUAAAAAAAUAAUACUCUAUAAGAAUUUUUAAAAUUUAGGGUACUCAAUAGGAAAAACAUAAAAUUACGAGUUUUUUCAUAAAUUUAUCGAAAAAACUAUGUUUAUAUUUUUUUAUAUUAUUUAAAUUAUUUUUUUAUAAUUAUAAGAAAGUUAUUAGUUAAAAAUAUAUUAUAAUUUUUUUAAUAUUAUUAAAAGUACUAUAAUAUAAUAUAAAAAUAUUAUAACUAGACCAAUUCAUCAUAUGGAUAAGUCUAUUAGGAUAAGGAAGAAAAGAAGGGCAGAUGGCUGAGGGUGUUCUAGUUAUAUAAAAAGAAAAAAAAUAGUGUUACAGAAUUUUGAGAAUAGGAGACACUUCCCCCAAAAAAAACCCUUAAACGAGAUAUUUUUAUUUUUUAAAUUAAGAUUCUGACCUCCAGGCGUCAGUUGAACGACGCCUAACCCGUUUAAUGAUUCGAAGAAUAAUAUGGGACCGGAAGGGCCCCACCGCUGGUAAAGUAAAUGAGAUAUUACCGCGUAAGUUUAGGAUUCCCGUUCAUAGAUGAUUGUAAUUAUUGGUUUCCCUUGAUUAAAUUGGGAUUAAAGGAUAAAGUGGAAUCUUUUGGGUGUUAAUAGUUUCACUUAGACCAAAAGUGCAGGACACUGUGGGGUAAGGUCUCACCUCCUGUUAUGUGAGGUAAGGUCUUUCAACCCUCUGAUACUGUCAGCCCCAAACCUUCCUUCACAUUGAGUUAUGGUAGGCCAACCUCCUCUCCUGCAUCAACCACCACUUGUUCCUUCCUCUCCCUUUUGCCUCUUCCUGCAUGAAGUUCUUCAUGUUUGCUUUUGGUUCCAAAUCUAGUUUACAGUUUCGAUGUUUUCAGAUUUAUUUUUGUUAAUCUCAUCAGCAUCAGUUUCAUCGAAAAGGUAAUCGAUACUUGUGUUUGCCAACAAUCGAAUAUUGCCAGAUCAAUUCAAUGGCUGUGUUUUGUGGCGGAAGAUUCAAGUCUGUUCCAUUGUCAUGUUCCACGAGAAGGCCUUUGUUUCAAGAUGUGUUGUCGCUUCAAAAGCAGGAGGUAAUGUAUUGGACCACCACCGGCCAACUUUCCCUGUAGCUUUGCUUCGUUCGAUUCCCCACCGAGCGCCAUGGUCGGUCGUACGUGUCAAUGGUGGAUUGGUCAGUUUCUCUUUCUCUCUCUUCUCUCUUGAUUCAUGUGGCUUACUUGGGCCUUGGCUCUAUAAGAACCCGUCCUCUUCUCCUCUCCUCCAUUGUAGAACGAUCUGGAAUAGAAGAUAACGAGGAAGUAAUAGCAUUUUGUAGAGGAGAAGAGAGAGAGAGAGAGAGAGAGAGAGAGAAAGAGAGAGAGUAUGGCUAAUGGUUACUACUAUCAGAAUAGUCCUUACUACUACAACUCCUCUCACUCCCAGUCUCCUCCCUUGCCGCUCCACCUGUGCCUCUUCCUCCUUACGCUCUUCAUGUUCAUAGGCCUCUCGUGGUACAUGGCCUACGAGUCGGUGUUCGAGAGCUUGUUCGACCAGCUCAAGUUCCUGCUCAUGAUGUCGCCGCUGGUGCUGCUGCUGGUCGUCCACUGGCUGUCGAGCGAUGAGCGGCUAAGGGUGCCCUUCUUUAUUCCCUUGCCGGAGAGGGACUCCUUCCACCGGGCCGGCGGUUCCCCUUGGGGCGUCGCGCUUGUCUUGGUGCUCCUCAUGUUCAUGAUCUCCUACCAGUCCUACUUCCACGACUGCUGGUUCCCGCUACUAAGCCGUUGACGCUGAUGAACCAGGAUGCAUGUAUCCCAGAUUCCGUAGCUGGAAGAAGAAGAAGAUGAUGAAGAAGUAUUAGCUAUCCAUGUAGUUAAUCGAUAAGACGAACUUGCGAAGCGUCUGUUGUCAAUAACAUUUUGCUCUUGGUUUUGUAUCUUAGUUCUGGAUCACUGAUCAUUGCCUUCUAACUUGAGCAUGAAAACAAAGGUUAAGAUAGCAGAGUUUGAUCUCAAUCUCUCUGUGAAGCUACAGUUUCUGGCCAAGAGAAGAUUACUUGUCAUCGAUAGUGGAGACAAAAGAAUCAACGCACACUGGGAGCCUGAAGGAUCUGAUCAAAUUGAUUCAUUACCAGGCAGAUAGAUCAUGAAGAGAGCAGAGGAUGACUUAUGAUUUAAACGCCUUGCACCCUUGAGUGUAACUUUUUCCUGAGCCAAAAAGGUGUACAAGGCUUACGCAAUAUGGCCUUCUUUACUUGGGUUGAGAAAUGCUUCUCUUUUCCUUUCAAGUGGCCUUCUACACAUGUCAAUGAUUGCACCCAAAAGAAAGCAGAGAAAAGUUGUCAACCGAUACAAUCUUUACUUUUCUCUCUCUCUCUCUCUCUCUCUCUCUCUCUCUCUCUCUCUCUCUCUAUUAUACGUUGAUGUAGGUUGGAUUGUGUAAACUAUGAAAAGAAGGGAAUGGCAUCUGCUUCUCUUUUCCUUUCGGCUUGGAUAGUGAUCAAAGCAGCAGAACUUGUGCAUGCCUACCUGCCUCCUCGGCAUUAGCUAUUGAAAAGUGGACUCGGUUCAUGGCCGAGGUGGUGAAGCUCACAGAUAAUUCACAUUUGUUACAAGUUGUGACACCUCGUACAUGAUUCUGCGAAAAGAUAACCCCAUAAAAAUGUUGAAUCCUUCGUUGACUAAUAAGAAUAGCUCGUCGCUAGGAAAUCACAAAAAUUAUUUUAUUAUCGAUGACCUUCUUAUGUUCUUCAAGUGUCAAAAAAGUCAUAUAUAGCAGCCUGUUUUGUUACGAUUCUUUAACAGAUUUAGAUAAAUUAUUCAUUUAUUUACUUGAGAAGUUCAGAUCUAAAUUGGCAAUAAUAGUAAUAGUAAUAGUAAUAAUAAUAAUAAUAAUAAUAAUAAACAGACCUCCUGGCUAGCCUUUUGCAUGAACAACAUUUGAAUAGAACCAUAAGCAAAGUGAAAGACAACACCGGCAAUUGCAAUUAUUAAACAAAAAUAAUAAGGUAACAUACUCAAAAUGAUAUCUGGUUCAGAAUUAUUGACCUUCCUUCGAGUACAGAAUCAAAAUAAAAUCAAGCAAAGCAAGUCAUAAUAUCCAUCCAAGGAGAGAGGAGAGAGAGACCGACAAAUAUUUGGUUGAGGAAGAACAGCAUCCAGGUAAAAUUCCAAACUGAACUACUCUCUCAUGUCAGUUGUGUUGUUUCAUCAUCUUAUUGUUCUGCUACUCCCCAUGUAGAAGAAGAUUUAGAAGCAUUUCCUGUGCACAAUGGAAGGGCCAGACUCAUCAUACUCUGCCUUUGCAAUCCACAUCUGCAACGGACAGUAGCUUGUCAUCAAGAGUGAUUCCAAGAAUGCAAGAUUUUGUCAAGAUAACCAGAUAUGAGCAUCUAUUAUGUGGUUUCAAGUAGUAGGGUAUACACCUGUUGGAAUGUGCUAAGAGAAGCCAAAAUGGAUCCUCCAAUCCAAACACUGUACUUCCUUUCCGGGGGAGCAACCACCUUAAUCUUCAUGCUGCUUGGAGCCAGUGCAGUGAUCUCCUUGCUCAUCCUAUCAGCAAUGCCUGGGAACAUGGUGGAUCCUCCACUCAGCACAAUGUUUCCAUACAAAUCCUUUCUGAUGUCCACAUCACACUUCAUGAUGGAGUUGUAUGUGGUCUCAUGUAUGCCUGCAGCUUCCAUCCCAAUCAUGGAUGGCUGGAAGAGCACUUCAGGGCAGCGGAACCGCUCGGCACCGAUGGUGAUGACCUGCCCGUCAGGCAACUCAUAGUUCUUCUCCACAGAUGAGCUGGUCUUUGCCAUCUCCAGCUCUUGUUCAUAGUCAAGAGCAAUGUAUGCCAGCUUUUCCUUGAUGUCACGAACGAUUUCACGCUCUGCCGUGGUGGUGAAGGAGUAGCCACGCUCUGUCAAGAUCUUCAUGAGAGCGUCAGUCAGGUCACGGCCUGCCAGGUCGAGGCGAAGGAUGGCAUGUGGAAGUGCAUAGCCUUCAUAUAUUGGAACUGUAUGGCUGACACCAUCACCAGAGUCGAGCACAAUACCUGUGCAUAUCAGUGAUCAGUCAAGUUUAAUUUUCCUUCUUCAUUAGUGAUUCAAUAAUGCAAAAGAAAAAAAAAAUUCCUUCCAUAUAUAUAUGCUGCAGAAAUCAUGUAAUCCUAAAUUAAUAUUCAGGCAUCACAAAGAUCAUCCAGCUUGUAGACAUAUACAUGAAUAACUGAAUAUAAGUAGCAAAUCUAAGCACUUACUGAAAAGAGAUGCUAUUUCAACUAAAAAAAGUUCACCAAGUUAACAGGGUUCAUGGUUUACGAACAUGCACAGGUAUUCCAAUUCCCUCAAAAAAAAAGACAUGUUUACAUGUCUACUAGAGAUGGUCAAGAGAGUGAUUCAUCAAGGUGAAUGACUGGAUUACCUGUUGUUCGACCACUAGCGUAAAGAGACAGAACAGCUUGGAUUGCAACAUACAUAGCUGGAGCAUUGAAGGUCUCAAACAUGAUUUGAGUCAUCUUCUCACGAUUGGCCUUGGGGUUAAGAGGUGCUUCAGUAAGAAGAAUAGGAUGUUCUUCUGGUGCCACACGAAGCUCAUUGUAGAAAGUAUGGUGCCAAAUUUUCUCCAUGUCAUCCCAAUUGCUCACAAUGCCAUGCUCAAUCGGAUAUUUCAGUGUCAGAAUGCCUCGUUUAGAUUGAGCCUCAUCUCCUACAUAUGCAUCCUUCUGGCCCAUGCCUACCAUCACUCCAGUAUGACGUGGUCGUCCCACAAUGCUUGGGAAAACAGCCCUUGGGGCAUCAUCUCCAGCAAAACCAGCCUAAAGAAUGACAGCACACAAUGUUUAAAGGCUAAGUCAACAGUGAACUAUGAGGAGAAGCUCUCUGAGAAAUUCAAAAUUGGCUAAUGGUUAGAUGACAAAAGAUGAAGUUAAUAGCAUUAGGUUUAAGCAUUUUAGAGCUUCAGAACCGAACUAUAUCAUUAUCAUCUUCGUGAACAAUGUAUGAACAGUAAACAGCCUGAGAUUUAUGGAAACAUGUCAUAAAAAGCAAUCUUCAGGUUGUACCUUAACCAUUCCAGUUCCAUUGUCACAUACGAGAGGCUGAAUAUCUUCACCAUCUGCCAUCUUCUAUCUCUGACAGGAAAGAUGAAUACCAGCUUGAGAUGAAGAACUAUCCAUCAGACAAAAAGGAACAAACAGAAGAGAAUUACAUGUGAAUGUAUAUAACUAGUAAUGGAUAUAAGUUCAAAGAAUUGUUAUAUUAAUUAGUCAUUGACUCAUUUCCUAUUGACUGACACUUUGUAUUUCCUGGUAUAACUUUGAAAGCAAUCAAGACUGGUACAGUGGUAGUAACAAUUCUACUGCUCAAUACUAAUUACUUUGAGAACAACUUAAUAAACUCCUUACUCACUGAAAGGUCAGAACGAGUAAAUAAACUGAUCAAAAUUCAUCUCCGCGGUUACUCAAUAUACAAGAAUUUCCAUUUUUUAAUCGAGGGUUUAUAAUUCUAAUGUAAGACUUAGCCGAUCUUAUCCAUUUUUAUAAUUUUUUUUGUCGAAUAAAUCAUGAAUGGAUUUGGCAAAGUAUUAAGGAUUUUAUCGAAAACUUACAGCAGCGCCACAGCACAGGUACAAAAGACAAUUUAUUUAAAAUACAUUUCAAGGUUAAAAAACAAAGCAUAAGAACAUUUUAAGCAAUAAACUUAACAUGACUUGGCAAAUAACCUUGAUUUCCAAUCCGAUUGUAAGUAGAAUGCAAUGAAUUAUAUGGAGACAAAAGUCUCUUCAGGACAGAUUACCCCAGCAUAUAAGGUCAAACAUCCUCAUGAUUUGGCAAAUGAGGGAAUUGAUUCUUUAAGCUGGCAUGUAAAUACAUGAUUUGAGGCAAACCAAGUAUUGAUAUCACAAUAGACAAAACUCUGUGGCAAUCACCAAUAUUUGCAUCUUUAUUUUAGGGUAAAUUUCUAUCUACAACUUAGAUCCAGAAAUUACAGAACACAGCAAAUGUACAAUCACCAAUGCAGUCAACUCCAUCAUUUCCUUUAUGAAGGACAACCUAAAGUAGACAAUCAAGCAUCUGCCAUCUUUAUAUCUGACAGGCACCAAAUGAAAAAGAACAGAAUUACAUUUGCAAUAUAUAUGGUCAAUAAUGGAGACAAGAUUAGAGUUUGUUAGAUUAACAAGUCAUUGAUUUAUUUCCUAUGUGCUGAUGCUUCCUAUGUC